AGCAUGUGUUUAAUUCGAGGCAACGCGAGGACCUUUACUUACUUUGGACAUCCAGAGAACUUAGCAGAGAUGCUUUGGUGCUUUCGGAAACUCUGAGCCAGGGGCUGCAUGCCUGUCGUCAGCUCGUGUUGUGAAAUGUUGGUUUAAGUCCGGCAACGAGCGCAACCCUUAUCCUUAGUUGCCAGCGGUUAGGCCGGGAACUCAAAGGAGACUGCCAGUGAUAAACUGGAGGAAGGUGGGGAUGACGUCAAGUCAUCAUGGCCCUUACGAGUAGGGCUACACACGUGCUACAAUGGCGCAUACAAAGAGAAGCGACCUCGCGAGAGCAAGCGGACCUCAUAAAGUGCGUCGUAGUCCGGAUUGGAGUCUGCAACUCGACUCCAUGAAGUCGGAAUCGCUAGUAAUCGUGGAUCAGAAUGCCACGGUGAAUACGUUCCCGGGCCUUGUACACACCGCCCGUCACACCAUGGGAGUGGGUUGCAAAAGAAGUAGGUA
Molecule: ribosomal RNA, 495 nt
Filed under: Enterobacter hormaechei
Lineage: Bacteria; Pseudomonadati; Pseudomonadota; Gammaproteobacteria; Enterobacterales; Enterobacteriaceae
Description: bacterial SSU rRNA
Rfam family: Bacterial small subunit ribosomal RNA
Source: RNAcentral